UAUUUGUCUUUCUCUUUCUGACUUGUUUCACUUAGUAUGAGAGUCUCUAGUUCCAUCCAUGUUGCUGCAAAUGGCAAUAUUUUCUUCUUUUUUAUAGCUGAGUAGUAUUCCAUUGUGUAUUAUACCACAUCUUCUUAAUGCAUUUAUCUGUUGAUGGACAUUUAGGUUGUUUCCAUGUCUUGGCUGUUGUGAAUAGUGCUGCAAUGAACAUACAGGUGCAUAUGUCUUUUUCAAGGAAAGUUUUGGAUAUAUGCCCAAGAAUGGGAUUGCUGGAUCAUAUGGUAGUUCUAUAUUUAGUUUUCUGAGGUACCUCCAUACUGUUUCCAUAGUGGUUUUACCAAUUUACAUUUCCCCCAACAGUGUAGGAGCGUUCCCUUUUCACCAUACCCUCUCCAGCAUUUUUUAUUUGUGGACUUAUUAAUGAUGGCCAUUCUGACUGGUGUGAGGUGGUACCUCAUGGUAGUUUUGAUUUGCAUUUCUCUAAUAAUCAGUGACGUUUAGCAUUUUUUCAUGAGCCUGUUGGCUAUCUGUAUAUCUUCUUUGGAGAAAUGUCUAUUCAGAUCUUUGACCAUUUUUCCAUUGGGUUGUUGGCUUUUUUGCUGUUGAGUUGUAUAAGUUGCUUGUAUAUUGUAGUGAUUAAGCCCUAGUCAGUUGCAUCAUUUGAAACUAUUUUCUCCCAUUCUGUAAGUUGUCUUUUUGUUUUCUUUUGGGUUUCCUUUGCUGUGCAAAAGCUUUUCAGUUUGAUUAGGUCCCAUUGGUUUCUUUUUUCUUUUAUUUCUGUUGCCUUGGGAGACUGACCUGAGAAAACAUUUGUAAGGUUGAUGUCAGAAAAUGUUUUGCCCAUGUUCUCUUCUAGGAGUUUGAUGGUGUCUUGUCUUAUGUUUAAGUCUUUCAGCCAUUUUGAAUUUAUUAUUGUGCAUAGUAUGAGGAUGUGUUCCAGUUUCAUUAAUUUACAUGCUGCUGUCCGGUUUUCCCAGUACCACUUGCUGCAAAGACUGUCUUUUCCCAUUUUAUAGUCUUGCCUCCUGUGUUAAAGAUUAAUUGACCAUAGGUGUCUAGGUUUAUUUAUGGGUCCUCUAUUCUGUUCCAUUGGUCUGUAUGUCUGUUUUGGUACCGGUACUACACUCUCUUAAUUACUGUGGCUUUGUAAUAUUGCCUGAAGUCUGGUUGAGUUAUGCCUCCUGAUUGUUUUUUUGUUCCUCAGGAUUGGUUUGGCAAUUCUGGGUCUUUUAUGGUUCCAUGUAAAUUUUGGAUUGUUUCUUCUCAUUCUGUGAAAAAAUGUCAUGGGUAAUUUGAUACAGGCCCAUGCCAAGAUAUAUAAUAAAAAUGGAAAAAGUUAAAGAGAGGAUUCUAAAUGCAACACGAGAAAGACAAAGUGUUAAUUAUAAAGGAACCCCCAUAAGGCUAUCAGCUAAUUUCUCUAUGGAAACACUACAGGCCAGAAGAGAGUAGCAAGAUAUAUUCACAGAUCUAAGAGGGAAAAAUUUACAGCCUAGAAUACUCUACCCAGAAAGAAUAUCAUUUAAAAUAGAAGCGUCUGUUUUUUAAAAUGCAUCUAUAACAACACAAAGUUUCGUGGCACACAAAGAAAUUGGAAAACAUGAUCCAGUGGAAGGAAAACAAUAAAUCUCCAGAAACCAACCCUAAAGAAUUGGAGAUAUAUGGUUAACCUUAAAAAUAAUUAAGAAUAACUAUCAUAAAGACACUCAACAAACUUGGGAAAAUGAAGCAUGAACAAAGUGAAAAUAUCUACAAAGAAUUAAAAAUUUGAAAAAAUCAAACUAAUUGACAUUUUGGAGCUGAAGAGCACAAAAACUAAACUGAAAAAUUUGUUAUAUUAGUUCCAAAGUAGACAUGAUCAAGCAGAAGAAAGAAUCAGUGACCUCAAGACAGUUCACUUGAAAUUAUCUAGAUAAAGGAGCAUAAGACGAAUGAAAAUGAAUAAAGAAAUCCUGGAACUUAUGGGAUACCAACAAGCAGAAUAGUAUAUGCAUUAUAGGUGUCUCAGAAGGGGAAUAAAGAGCAAAAAGACACAAAAUUUAUUUGAAAAAUAAUGGGAAAAAAAACCCCAAAUGUGGGAAAGGUAGUGGACAUCCAAAUUCAAGAAGCUCAAAACAUUCCAGCGAAGAUGAACACAGAGUCCACACCAAGACACGUUAUAAGCAAACUGUCAAAAAUUGAAGAUAAGGAAAAAAAAA
Molecule: long non-coding RNA, 2198 nt
Filed under: Sus scrofa (pig)
Lineage: Eukaryota; Metazoa; Chordata; Mammalia; Artiodactyla; Suidae
Description: lncRNA (ENSSSCG00050062123.1)
Source: RNAcentral